CAGCCGUAAACAAUGUGCGUUAGGUGUGUCGGUAACCACGCGUUACUGAUGCGCCGAAGAGAAAUCGUGAAACGCACCACCUGGGAAGUACGGUCGCAAGGCUGAACUUAAAGGAAUUGGCGGGGGAGCACCACAACAGGUGGAGCCUGCGGUUUAAUUGGAUUCAACGCCGGACAUCUCACCGGAUAAGACAGCUGAAUGAUUGUCAAUCUGAAGGUUUACAUGACUAGCUGAGAGGUGGUGCAUGGCGUCAGUGAC
This 258-nucleotide ribosomal RNA is filed under the name uncultured archaeon. RNAcentral's name for it is "partial 16S ribosomal RNA". It matches the Rfam family "Archaeal small subunit ribosomal RNA", at positions 748 to 1007 of the family's 1478-position model. The record is from RNAcentral.